CAUGCAAGUCGAGCGCAGGAAGCCGUCUGAACCCUUCGGGGGGACSACGGUGGAAUGAGCGGCGGACGGGUGAGUAACACGUAAAGAACCUGCCCAUAGGUCUGGGAUAACCACGAGAAAUCGGGGCUAAUACCGGAUGUGUCAUCGGACCGCAUGGUCCGCUGAUGAAAGGCGCUUCGGCGUCGCCCAUGGAUGGCUUUGCGGUGCAUUAGCUAGUUGGUGGGGUAACGGCCCACCAAGGCGAGGAUGCAUAGCCGACCUGAGAGGGUGAUCGGCCACACUGGGACUGARACACGGCCCAAACUCCUACGGGAGGCAGCARUAGGGAAUCUUCCACAAUGGACGAAAGUCUCAUGGARCAACGCCGCGUGAAMGAUGAAGGCUUUCGGGUCGUAAAGUUCUGUUGUAAGGGAAGAACAAGUGCCGCAGGCAAUGGCGGCACCUUGACGGUACCUUGCGAGAAAGCCACGGCUAACUACSUGCCAGCAGCCGCGGUAAUACGUAGGUGGCAAGCGUUGUCCGGAAUUAUUGGGCGUAAAGCGCGCGCAGGCGGCCUCUUAAGUCUGAUGUGAAAGCCCCCGGCUCAACCGGGGAGGGCCMUUGGAAACUGGGAGGCUUGAGUAU
This 624-nucleotide ribosomal RNA is filed under the name Exiguobacterium sp.SP04. RNAcentral describes it as "bacterial SSU rRNA". It matches the Rfam family "Bacterial small subunit ribosomal RNA", at positions 54 to 649 of the family's 1533-position model. The record is from RNAcentral. Lineage: Bacteria; Bacillati; Bacillota; Bacilli; Caryophanales.